GUUCAAAGUCACAGAUUUAUUUUACACUGAACUCACACAGAUCCUCCUUUCCUGAAGCUCCUUCUGUCGACGUCUCUAUUAUCGAAAACAUGGCAGCAGCUCCUUCAUCAGGUGAGCAGCACAGUGAAGGUCUGACACACACACACACACACAGAGUCUGAGGUGGAGUGUGUGUUUCCUCUGAUCAGCACUGCUUUAAUCCCAACAGGUCGUCUCUAACAGCGCUCGGAGGAGGGCGGGGUCAAUUCAGGUGACGCAGCCACCGAGCGGAACAAUUCAAGAUUUCAGCCUGGGCGGCGAACAGGAAUAUUAU
Molecule: non-coding RNA, 313 nt
Organism: Xyrichtys novacula (pearly razorfish)
Lineage: Eukaryota; Metazoa; Chordata; Actinopteri; Labriformes; Labridae
Source: the annotation of a GenBank genome assembly